This 297-nucleotide ribosomal RNA is filed under the name uncultured bacterium. Its description in RNAcentral is "partial 16S ribosomal RNA". It matches the Rfam family "Bacterial small subunit ribosomal RNA", at positions 338 to 631 of the family's 1533-position model. The record is from RNAcentral.
CCUACGGGAGGCAGCAGUGAGGAAUAUUGGUCAAUGGGCGCGAGCCUGAACCAGCCAAGUCGCGUGAGGGAGGACGGCCCUACGGGUUGUAAACCUCUUUUGCCGGGGAGCAACGGGCGUCACGUGUGGCGCCACUGAGAGUACCCGGAGAAAAAGCAUCGGCUAACUCCGUGCCAGCAGCCGCGGUAAUACGUAGGGAGCAAGCGUUAUCCGGAUUUAUUGGGUGUAAAGGGUGCGUAGACGGGAAAUUAAGUUAGUUGUGAAAUCCCUCGGCUCAACUGAGGAACUGCAACUAAA